GAUUAAGCCAUGCAUGUGUAAGUGCACACUCUAGAACAGUGAAACUGCGAAUGGCUCAUUAAAUCAGUCAUGGUUUAUUUGAGAAUUAACCUACUUGGAUAACUCUGGUAAUUCUAGAGCUAAUACAUGCCUAACGCUCCGGCCUCGCGGCUGGGGUCGCUUUUAUUAGUACCAAGACCAAUACGCGCUUCGGCGCGUACCCUCUGGUGAAUCUGAAUAACGAGUCGAUCGCACGGUCAUCGCACCGGCGACGCAUCAUUCAAGUGUCUGCCCUAUCAACUUUCGAUGGUAGGAUAUUGGCCUACCAUGGUUGCAACGGGUGACGGGGAAUCAGGGUUCGAUUCCGGAGAGGGAGCCUGAGAAACGGCUACCACAUCCAAGGAAGGCAGCAGGCGCGCAAAUUACCCAAUCCCGACUCGGGGAGGUAGUGACGAAAAAUAACGAUACAGGAUCUUCUACGAUCUUGCAAUUGGAAUGAGUACACUUUAAAUCCUUUAACGAGGACCAAUUGGAGGGCAAGUCUGGUGCCAGCAGCCGCGGUAAUUCCAGCUCCAAUAGCGUAUAUUAAAGUUGCUGCGUUUAAAAAGCUCGUAGUUGGAUUUCAGGGGACGGACCGCGGUUCCCUUCGUGGGGUCUACUGCGGUGCGGACCUUUAAGUCAGUGCGGCUCCGAAUCGCGUGCACUUCAUCGUGUGCCGAUGCGGUCCGCAACGUUUACCUUGAAAAAAUUAGAGUGCUCAAAGCAGGCGCUAUCGCCCGGAUAUUUCAGCAUGGAAUAAUGGAACAGGACCUCGCGUUCAGUUCUGUUGGUCUCCCGGACCGAGGUAAUGAUUAUUAGGAACAGACGGGGGCAUUCGUAUUGCGGCGACAGAGGUGAAAUUCUUGGACCGCCGCAAGACGAACAAGUGCGAAAGCAUUUGCCAAGAAUGUUUUCAUUAAUCAAGAACGAAAGUUAGAGGAUCGAAGGCGAUCAGAUACCGCCGUAGUUCUAACCAUAAACGAUGCCGACCGGCGAUCUGCAAACGAGCUUUAUAUCUUUGCAGGCAGCCCUGGGGAAACCAGAGUGUUUUGGUUACGGGGGAAGUAUGGUUGCAAAGCUGAAACUUAAAGGAAUUGACGGAAGGGCACCACCAGGAGUGGAGCCUGCGGCUUAAUUUGACUCAACACGGGAAAACUCACCCGGCCCGGACACAGUAAGGAUUGACAGAUUGAGAGCUCUUUCUUGAUUCUGUGGGUGGUGGUGCAUGGCCGUUCUUAGUUGGUGGAGUGAUUUGUCUGGUUAAUUCCGAUAACGAACGAGACUCCAACCUGUUAAAUAGGAUGGGGCGCCCAGCGUGGAGCCUCGACGCCUUCUUAGAGGGACAAUCGGCGUUUAGCCGGAUGAGAUGGAGCAAUAACAGGUCUGUGAUGCCCUUAGAUGUUCGGGGCCGCACGCGCGCUACACUGAAAGAGUCAACGUGUGCCCACCCUACUCCGAAAGGAGCGGGUAACCCUGUGAGCCCCUUUCGUGAUGGGGAUAGGGGAUUGCAAUUAUUCCCCUUGAACGAGGAAUUCCCAGUAAGUGCAAGUCAUAAGCUUGCAUUGAUUACGUCCCUGCCCUUUGUACACACCGCCCGUCGCUACUACCGAUUGAAUGAUUUAGUGAGAUCUUCGGAUCGGAGCCUGUCGGCCGCUUCGGUGGCCGUUGCGCUCCGAGA
This 1696-nucleotide ribosomal RNA is filed under the name Sterreria boucheti. RNAcentral's name for it is "SSU rRNA". It matches the Rfam family "Eukaryotic small subunit ribosomal RNA". Lineage: Eukaryota; Metazoa; Xenacoelomorpha; Nemertodermatida; Nemertodermatidae. The record is from RNAcentral.